RNAcentral lists this ribosomal RNA (1483 nucleotides) under uncultured bacterium. RNAcentral's name for it is "partial 16S ribosomal RNA". It matches the Rfam family "Bacterial small subunit ribosomal RNA". The record is from RNAcentral.
AGAGUUUGAUCCUGGCUCAGGAUGAACGCUGGCGGCGUGCCUUACACAUGCAAGUCGUACGAGUAUGCCUAUGAAGCUUCGGCCGAUUAGGAGUUACAUACUAGUGGCGGACGGGUGCAAAACGCGUAAAUAAUCUUCCCUUUAGACGGGCAUAACCUUGAGAAAUUAGGGCUAAUACCCGAUAAGUUCAUGAAGUCUCCUGACUUUAUGAGGAAACCUAGCAAUAGGCUGAAGGAUGAGUUUGCGUCUGAUUAGCUAGUUGGUGUGGUAAAAGCUCACCAAGGCAAUGAUCAGUAGCUGGUCUGAGAGGACGGACAGCCACACUGGGACUGAGAUACGGCCCAGACUCCUACGGGAGGCAGCAGUGGGGAAUAUUGCUCAAUGGGCGAAAGCCUGAAGCAGCGACGCCGCGUGAAUGAUGAAGUCCUUCGGGAUGUAAAGUUCUUUCGACAGGGACAAUAAUGAUGGUACCUGGAGAAGAAGGCCCGGCUAACUAUGUGCCAGCAGCCGCGGUAAUACAUAGGGGCCAAGCGUUAUCCGGAUUUACUGGGCGUAAAGCGCGUGUAGGUGGUUAGGCAAGUCAGGUGUUAAAACUAGAAGCUCAACUUCUAGUCGCCCCUGAAACUGUUUAGCUUCGAGUUUGGGAGAGGAUAGUGGAACUCAUAGUGUAGCGGUGAAAUGCGUAGAUAUUAUGAGGAACACCAGUGGCGAAGGCGACUAUCUGGACCAAUACUGACACUGAGACGCGAAAGCAUGGGGAGCAAACAGGAUUAGAUACCCUGGUAGUCCAUGCCGUAAACGAUGUUCAUUAGGUGUAGGGGGUAUCGACCCCUCCUGUGCCGUAGCUAACGCGUUAAAUGAACCGCCUGGGAACUACGACCGCAAGGUUAAAACUCAAAGAAAUUGACGGGGGCCCGCACAAGCAGUGGAUCAUGUGGUUUAAUUCGACGAUACGCGAAAAACCUUACCAGCCCUUGACAUCUGCCCGAUCGGUAUAGAGGUAUACCGUGACUCGCAAGAGAAGGCAAGACAGGUGGUGCAUGGCUGUCGUCAGCUCGUGUUGUGAAAUGUUGGGUUAAGUCCCGCAACGAGCGCAACCCCUAUCUUAUGUUACCAGCACGUUAUGGUGGGUACUCAUUAGAAACUGCCUGUGGAAAACAGGAGGAAGGCGGGGAUGACGUCAAGUCCUCAUGCCCCUUAUGGACUGGGCUACACACAUGAUACAAUGGUUAGGACAAAGGGUUGCCAAACCGCAAGGUGGAGCUAAUCCCAUAAAACUAAUCUCAAUUCGGAUUGCAGGCUGCAAUUCGCCUGCAUGAAGUUGGAAUUGCUAGUAAACGCAGAUCAGCACGCUGCGUUGAAUACGUUCCCGGGCCUUGUACACACCGCCCGUCACACCAUGAAAGCUAGAAAUACCCAAAGUAUCGCGUAAGCGGUCCUAAGGUAGAGCUAGUGAUUAGGGUGAAGUCGUAACAAGGUAACC